This 671-nucleotide ribosomal RNA is filed under the name uncultured bacterium. RNAcentral describes it as "bacterial SSU rRNA". It matches the Rfam family "Bacterial small subunit ribosomal RNA", at positions 140 to 826 of the family's 1533-position model. The record is from RNAcentral.
GGGAUAAUCCAUGGAAACGUGGACUAAUACCGCAUAUUGAAUAUUUACCGCAUGGCAGAUAUUUGAAAGAUUUAUCGCUUAUGGAUGGACUCGCGUCAGAUUAGCUAGUUGGUGAGGUAAAGGCUCACCAAGGCGACGAUCUGUAGCCGAACUGAGAGGUUGAUCGGCCGCAUUGGGACUGAGACACGGCCCAGACUCCUACGGGAGGCAGCAGUGGGGAAUAUUGCGCAAUGGGGGGAACCCUGACGCAGCAACGCCGCGUGCAGGAAGAAGGUCUUCGGAUUGUAAACUGUUGUCGCAAGGGAAGAAGACAGUGACGGUACCUUGUGAGAAAGUCACGGCUAACUACGUGCCAGCAGCCGCGGUAAUACGUAGGUGACAAGCGUUGUCCGGAUUUACUGGGUGUAAAGGGCGCGUAGGCGGACUGUCAAGUCAGUCGUGAAAUACCGGGGCUCAACCCCGGGGCUGCGAUUGAAACUGACAGCCUUGAGUAUCGGAGAGGAAAGCGGAAUUCCUAGUGUAGCGGUGAAAUGCGUAGAUAUUAGGAGGAACACCAGUGGCGAAGGCGGCUUUCUGGACGACAACUGACGCUGAGGCGCGAAAGUGUGGGGAGCAAACAGGAUUAGAUACCCUGGUAGUCCACACCGUAAACGAUGGAUAAUAGGUGUAGG